UGUGACGGGCUGGGGGUGCCGAGCAGCUGCAGGUGGCGGCGCCGCGUUGUGUUUACAUCGUGCGGAAAGGAGCGCGAUGCGGAACCGCGGGGUUUGGGCUUUUCCGUGAAAAGGGCGAGAGCGGCCGCCUGGGCCGGAGGACUGGGAAGCGCUGCGCACCCAAACUUCGUUAAAAUAAAGCAUUCGGGAUAAAGACGGAGGCAGAAGAGCGGCCGGCUGUCCCCGAGCGGUCCCCGUUGGGUUUGCGUCGCCCAAGAAGCCCUGGCGCUCUGCGGCGCCUUAGAGCGGGCAGCAAAGCCGGAGCAGCCCGGUUCGAACAGGCCAUAGUAAAGAACAGUGCCUGCUGCUACAGAGCUGCACAUUCACGGAAGGGUUUUAAAACACACGCAGGGAUUUAGCUUUUGUUCUUCAUUGUGAGACUGAGAGCUUCACACAAAAAGAUGAAGAGAUUUGUAUGAAUGAUUGGAUUGGGAAGAGGAAUUUCCUCCUGCAGAGAAAGAGCCCUCAGGAUGUAUUUCUUUCAGCAGUCAGAAUUAUGCACUAUCUAGCUGGAGUUUUGUCUUCCCUCACCCUCCUGUGUUCUCAGCAGUCACUGGCAGCAGACCUUGGAUUCCCGUUCAGUUGGGUUGUAUGCAACGUUGCAGAAAUCAUAGAGGAGAUUCUUUUAGAAAUACAGAAAUCAAAACUGCCAGGAAAAAGGAGCCUGGUGGUGCCUUUCAGAAAAAGAAUAAAACAAGCAGAGGGAUUCUAAAUAGGCAAAGGAUAUCUUUAAAUAUUUGGAAUUGCUUAUUGAGCACAUAAAGCUGUAGAGGCCAUACAGUCCUAGGGCAAUGACAGCACAAUGGCUUGGAUAUUGAUGGCCUGAAAGUCCUCCUGAUCUAUGAAAUAUUACGCUAUUAUGUUCCUCUACUUCCUAUACAUGAAUUUUUGCAUGUAAAAAUAUUGGGUUUUUUUUCUAUUGGGAUAUGUUAAAUAAAGUUGUGCAUUUGGCUCGUCA
RNAcentral lists this long non-coding RNA (997 nucleotides) under Cyanistes caeruleus (blue tit). Its description in RNAcentral is "lncRNA (ENSCCEG00000023547.1)". Lineage: Eukaryota; Metazoa; Chordata; Aves; Passeriformes; Paridae. The record is from RNAcentral.